Molecule: ribosomal RNA, 253 nt
Filed under: uncultured bacterium
Lineage: Bacteria
Description: partial 16S ribosomal RNA
Rfam family: Bacterial small subunit ribosomal RNA
Source: RNAcentral
UACGUAGGGGGCGAGCGUUAUCCGGAUUCACUGGGUGUAAAGGGAGCGUAGACGGCCAUGCAAGCCAGGGGUGAAAGCCCGGGGCCCAACCCCGGGACUGCCCUUGGAACUGUGCGGCUAGAGUGCGGGAGGGGCAGGCGGAAUUCCUGGUGUAGCGGUGAAAUGCGUAGAUAUCUGGAGGAACACCGGCGGCGAAGGCGGCCUGCUGGACCGCGACUGACGUUGAGGCUCGAAAGCGUGGGGAGCGAACAGG